GGGCCCUACGGGACGCAGCAGUAGGGAAUCUUCCACAAUGGGCGAAAGUCUGCUGGAGCAACGCCGCGUGGGUGAAGAAGGUCUUCGGAUCGUAAAACCCUGUUGUUAGAGAAGAAAGUGCGUGAGAGUAACUGUUCACAUUUCGACGGUAUCUAACCAGAAAGCCACGGCUAACUACGUGCCAGCAGCCGCGGUAAUACGUAGGUGGCAAGCGUUAUCCGGAUUUAUUGGGCGUAAAGGGAAGGCAGGCGGUCUUUUAAGUCUGAUGUGAA
Molecule: ribosomal RNA, 272 nt
Filed under: uncultured bacterium
Lineage: Bacteria
Description: partial 16S ribosomal RNA
Rfam family: Bacterial small subunit ribosomal RNA
Source: RNAcentral